UACGUAGGGGGCAAGCGUUGUCCGGAAUUAUUGGGCGUAAAGAGCGUGUAGGCGGUCCAGUAAGUCAGCUGUGAAAGUCAAGGGCUCAACCCUUGAAUGCCGGUUGAUACUGUCGGGCUAGAGUCCGGAAGAGGCGAGUGGAAUUCCCGGUGUAGCGGUGAAAUGCGCAGAUAUCGGGAGGAACACCAAUGGCGAAGGCAGCUCGCUGGGACGGUACUGACGCUGAGACGCGAAAGCGUGGGGAGCAAACAGG
This 253-nucleotide ribosomal RNA is filed under the name uncultured bacterium. RNAcentral's name for it is "partial 16S ribosomal RNA". It matches the Rfam family "Bacterial small subunit ribosomal RNA", at positions 524 to 776 of the family's 1533-position model. The record is from RNAcentral.